GGGCCCGUAGCUCAGCCUGGAUGGAGCGCCGAGUUAGGCUCUUAAGAGCCAACGCGUAAGCCUUAUAUGGCUCCGCUCCGGACAAACCUAAGAAAGCCGGAGGUCCCGGGUUCAAGUCCCGGCGGGCCCACCA
Molecule: transfer RNA, 133 nt
Filed under: marine sediment metagenome
Rfam family: tRNA
About the family: Transfer RNA (tRNA) molecules are approximately 80 nucleotides in length. Their secondary structure includes four short double-helical elements and three loops (D, anti-codon, and T loops). Further hydrogen bonds mediate the characteristic L-shaped molecular structure. tRNAs have two regions of fundamental functional importance: the anti-codon, which is responsible for specific mRNA codon recognition, and the 3' end, to which the tRNAs corresponding amino acid is attached (by aminoacyl-tRNA synthetases). tRNAs cope with the degeneracy of the genetic code in two manners: having more than one tRNA (with a specific anti-codon) for a particular amino acid; and 'wobble' base-pairing, i.e. permitting non-standard base-pairing at the 3rd anti-codon position.
Source: RNAcentral